This 465-nucleotide ribosomal RNA is filed under the name uncultured Klebsiella sp. RNAcentral's name for it is "bacterial SSU rRNA". It matches the Rfam family "Bacterial small subunit ribosomal RNA", at positions 338 to 795 of the family's 1533-position model. The record is from RNAcentral. Lineage: Bacteria; Pseudomonadati; Pseudomonadota; Gammaproteobacteria; Enterobacterales; Enterobacteriaceae.
CCUACGGGGGGCUGCAGUGGGGAAUAUUGCACAAUGGGCGCAAGCCUGAUGCAGCCAUGCCGCGUGUGUGAAGAAGGCCUUCGGGUUGUAAAGCACUUUCAGCGGGGAGGAAGGCGUUAAGGUUAAUAACCUUGUCGAUUGACGUUACCCGCAGAAGAAGCACCGGCUAACUCCGUGCCAGCAGCCGCGGUAAUACGGAGGGUGCAAGCGUUAAUCGGAAUUACUGGGCGUAAAGCGCACGCAGGCGGUCUGUCAAGUCGGAUGUGAAAUCCCCGGGCUCAACCUGGGAACUGCAUUCGAAACUGGCAGGCUAGAGUCUGGUAGAGGGGGGUAGAAUUCCAGGUGUAGCGGUGAAAUGCGUAGAGAUCUGGAGGAAUACCGGUGGCGAAGGCGGCCCCCUGGACAAAGACUGACGCUCAGGUGCGAAAGCGUGGGGAGCAAACAGGAUUAGAUACCCCGGUAGUC